RNAcentral lists this ribosomal RNA (127 nucleotides) under Enterobacter cloacae. RNAcentral's name for it is "partial 16S ribosomal RNA". It matches the Rfam family "Bacterial small subunit ribosomal RNA", at positions 1 to 118 of the family's 1533-position model. RNAcentral also lists the same sequence under 13 other names. Lineage: Bacteria; Pseudomonadati; Pseudomonadota; Gammaproteobacteria; Enterobacterales; Enterobacteriaceae. The record is from RNAcentral.
UUAAAUUGAAGAGUUUGAUCAUGGCUCAGAUUGAACGCUGGCGGCAGGCCUAACACAUGCAAGUCGAACGGUAACAGGAAGCAGCUUGCUGCUUUGCUGACGAGUGGCGGACGGGUGAGUAAUGUCU